Molecule: ribosomal RNA, 460 nt
Filed under: uncultured bacterium
Lineage: Bacteria
Description: partial 16S ribosomal RNA
Rfam family: Bacterial small subunit ribosomal RNA
Source: RNAcentral
CCUACGGGAGGCAGCAGUGAGGAAUAUUGGUCAAUGGACGAGAGUCUGAACCAGCCAAGUAGCGUGCAGGAUGACUGCCCUAUGGGUUGUAAACUUCUUUUAUAUGGGAAUAAAAUGUUCCACGUGUGGGAUUUUGUAUGUACCGUAUGAAUAAGGAUCGGCUAACUCCGUGCCAGCAGCCGCGGUAAUACGGAGGAUCCGAGCGUUAUCCGGAUUUAUUGGGUUUAAAGGGAGCGUAGGUGGCUUGUUAAGUCAGUUGUGAAAGUUUGCGGCUCAACCGUAAAAUUGCAGUUGAAACUGGCAGUCUUGAGUACAGUAGAGGUGGGCGGAAUUCGUGGUGUAGCGGUGAAAUGCUUAGAUAUCACGAAGAACUCCGAUUGCGAAGGCAGCUUACUGGACUGCAACUGACACUGAGGCUCGAAAGUGUGGGUAUCAAACAGGAUUAGAUACCCUGGUAGUC